Molecule: small nuclear RNA, 115 nt
Filed under: Chrysolophus pictus (golden pheasant)
Lineage: Eukaryota; Metazoa; Chordata; Aves; Galliformes; Phasianidae
Description: U5 spliceosomal RNA (ENSCPIG00010002709.1)
Rfam family: U5 spliceosomal RNA
About the family: U5 RNA is a component of both types of known spliceosome. The precise function of this molecule is unknown, though it is known that the 5' loop is required for splice site selection and p220 binding, and that both the 3' stem-loop and the Sm site are important for Sm protein binding and cap methylation.
Source: Rfam by way of RNAcentral
AUACUCUGGUUUCUCUUCAGAUCGUAUAAAUCUUUCGCCUUUUACUAAAGAUUUCUGUGGAGAGGAACAAGCACGAGUGUCGUGAAAUUUUUUGAGGCUCCGCUUCGGCGGAGCU